GACGAACGCUGGCGGCGUGCUUAACACAUGCAAGUCGAACGGAAAGGCCCUGCUUUUGUGGGGUGCUCGAGUGGCGAACGGGUGAGUAACACGUGAGUAACCUGCCCUUGACUUUGGGAUAACUUCAGGAAACUGGGGCUAAUACCGGAUAGGAGCUCCUGCUGCAUGGUGGGGGGUGGAAAGUUUCGGCGGUUGGGGAUGGACUCGCGGCUUAUCAGCUUGUUGGUGGGGUAGUGGCUUACCAAGGCUUUGACGGGUAGCCGGCCUGAGAGGGUGACCGGCCACAUUGGGACUGAGAUACGGACCAGACUCCUACGGGAGGCAGAAGUGGGGAAUAUUGCACAAUGGGCGGAAGCCUGAUGCAGCAACGCCGCGUGCGGGAUGACGGCCUUCGGGUUGUAAACCGCUUUCGCCUGUGACGAAGCGUGAGUGACGGUAAUGGGUAAAGAAGCACCGGCUAACUACGUG
Molecule: ribosomal RNA, 468 nt
Filed under: uncultured bacterium
Lineage: Bacteria
Description: partial 16S ribosomal RNA
Rfam family: Bacterial small subunit ribosomal RNA
Source: RNAcentral